RNAcentral lists this ribosomal RNA (425 nucleotides) under uncultured bacterium. Its description in RNAcentral is "bacterial SSU rRNA". It matches the Rfam family "Bacterial small subunit ribosomal RNA", at positions 355 to 772 of the family's 1533-position model. The record is from RNAcentral.
UGGGGAAUAUUGGACAAUGGGCGCAAGCCUGAUCCAGCAACGCCGCGUGGAGGACGAAGGUCUUCGGAUCGUAAACUCCUGUCAGGCGGGACGAAGGCUGCGGGGUAAAUAAUCCCGUAGCUUGACGGUACUGCCAGAGGAAGCACCGGCUAACUCUGUUCCAGCAGCCGCGGUAAGACAGAGGGUGCGAACGUUGCUCGGAAUUACUGGGCGUAAAGCGCGUGUAGGCGGGUAAUCAAGUCAGGUGUGAAAUCCCUGGGCUCAACCCAGGAACUGCACUUGAAACUGGUUGCCUUGAGUGUUGGAGAGGGAAGCGGAAUUCCUGGUGUAGAGGUGAAAUUCGUAGAUAUCAGGAGGAACACCGGUGGCGAAGGCGGCUUCCUGGACAAUUACUGACGCUGAGACGCGAAAGCGUGGGGAGCAAA